GGCGGUUUUGUCAGUGUCACUCCCCUGCUAAGGGAGUAGGCGGGAAACCGUCUCGAGGGUUCGAAUCCCUUCGUCUCCGCCA
RNAcentral lists this transfer RNA (82 nucleotides) under Alphaproteobacteria bacterium. RNAcentral describes it as "tRNA-Ser". Lineage: Bacteria; Pseudomonadati; Pseudomonadota; Alphaproteobacteria. The record is from RNAcentral.